GAUGAAGAACGUAGCGAAAUGCGAUAAGUAAUGUGAAUUGCAGAAUUCAGUGAAUCAUCGAAUCUUUGAACGCACAUUGCGCCCGCCAGUAUUCUGGCAGGCAUGCCUGUUCGAGCGUCAUUUCAACCAUCAAGCCCCCGGCUUGUGUUGGGGACCUGCGGCUGCCGCAGGCCCUGAAAAGCAGUGGCGGGCUCGCUGUCACACCGAGCGUAGUAGCAUACAUCUCGCUCUGGGCGUGCUGCGGGUUCCGGCCGUUAAACCACCUUCAUAACCCAAGGUUGACCUCGGAUCAGGUAGGAAGACCCGCUGAACUUAAGCAUAUCAAUAAGCGGAGGA
This 336-nucleotide unclassified non-coding RNA is filed under the name soil metagenome. RNAcentral describes it as "partial contains 5.8S ribosomal RNA, internal transcribed spacer 2, and large subunit ribosomal RNA". The stretch from base 1 to 120 matches the Rfam family "5.8S ribosomal RNA", at positions 35 to 154 of the family's 154-position model. The record is from RNAcentral.